AGAAUGAACGCUGGCGGCGUGCUUUACACAUGCAAGUCGAGCGAGGCGACCCGCAAGGGUCAGUCGAGCGGCGAACGGGUGAGUAACGCGUGGAUGACCUGCCCUGAGGUGGGGAAUAACCCGGGGAAACUCGGGCUAAUACCGCAUAUGACCGUGAGGUCAAAGCGGGUCGCAAGAUCUCGUGCCACAGGAGGGUCCGCGUUCGAUUAGCUAGUUGGUAGGGUAAUGGCCUACCGAAGGCGACGAUCGAUAGCCGGCCUGAGAGGGUGAUCGGCCACACUGGAACUGAGACGACGGUCCAGACUCCUACGGGAGGCAGCGAGGUGGGGUAAUUUGGCGCGAAGUGGGCUUAACGCCGUAGACGCAGCGAACGCCGCGU
RNAcentral lists this ribosomal RNA (379 nucleotides) under uncultured soil bacterium. Its description in RNAcentral is "bacterial SSU rRNA". It matches the Rfam family "Bacterial small subunit ribosomal RNA", at positions 26 to 402 of the family's 1533-position model. The record is from RNAcentral.